Molecule: ribosomal RNA, 377 nt
Filed under: uncultured organism
Description: partial 16S ribosomal RNA
Rfam family: Bacterial small subunit ribosomal RNA
Source: RNAcentral
GUAGGUGGCAAGCGUUGUCCGGAAUUAUUGGGCGUAAAGCGCGCGCAGGCGGUCCUUUAAGUCUGAUGUGAAAGCCCACGGCUCAACCGUGGAGGGUCAUUGGAAACUGGGGGACUUGAGUACAGAAGAGGAAAGCGGAAUUCCAAGUGUAGCGGUGAAGUGCGUAGAGAUUUGGAGGAACACCAGUGGCGAAGGCGGCUUUCUGGUCUGUAACUGACGCUGAGGCGCGAAAGCGUGGGGAGCAAACAGGAUUAGAUACCCUGGUAGUCCACGCCGUAAACGAUGAGUGCUAAGUGUUAGGGGGUUUUCCCGCCCCCCUUAGUGCUGCAGCUAACGCAUUAAAGCACUCCGCCUGGGGGAGUACGGCCGCAAGGCUG